Molecule: ribosomal RNA, 495 nt
Filed under: uncultured bacterium
Lineage: Bacteria
Description: partial 16S ribosomal RNA
Rfam family: Bacterial small subunit ribosomal RNA
Source: RNAcentral
UGAACGCUGGCGGCGUGCCUAAUACAUGUAAGUCGAGCGAACAGACGAGGAGCUUGCUCCUCUGACGUUAGCGGCGGACGGGUGAGUAACACGUGGAUAACCUACCUAUAAGACUGGGAUAACUUCGGGAAACCGGAGCUAAUACCGGAUAAUAUAUUGAACCGCAUGGUUCAAUAGUGAAAGACGGUUUUGCUGUCACUUAUAGAUGGAUCCGCGCCGCAUUAGCUAGUUGGUAAGGUAACGGCUUACCAAGGCAACGAUGCGUAGCCGACCUGAGAGGGUGAUCGGCCACACUGGAACUGAGACACGGUCCAGACUCCUACGGGAGGCAGCAGUAGGGAAUCUUCCGCAAUGGGCGAAAGCCUGACGGAGCAACGCCGCGUGAGUGAUGAAGGUCUUCGGAUCGUAAAACUCUGUUAUUAGGGAAGAACAAAUGUGUAAGUAACUAUGCACGUCUUGACGGUACCUAAUCAGAAAGCCACGGCUAACUACGUG